RNAcentral lists this ribosomal RNA (471 nucleotides) under uncultured bacterium. RNAcentral's name for it is "partial 16S ribosomal RNA". It matches the Rfam family "Bacterial small subunit ribosomal RNA", at positions 28 to 507 of the family's 1533-position model. The record is from RNAcentral.
GACGAACGCUGGCGGCGUGCUUAACACAUGCAAGUCGAACGAUGAAGCGGUGCUUGCACCGUGGAUUAGUGGCGAACGGGUGAGUAAUACGUGAGUGACCUACCUUUGACUCUGGGAUAAGCCUGGGAAACUGGGUCUAAUACCGGAUACGACCAAUCUCUGCAUGGGGUGUUGGUGGAAAGCGUUAUGGAGUGGUUUUAGAUGGGCUCACGGCCUAUCAGCUUGUUGGUGAGGUAAUGGCUUACCAAGGCGACGACGGGUAGCCGGCCUGAGAGGGUGACCGGCCACAUUGGGACUGAGACACGGCCCAGACUCCUACGGGAGGCAGCAGUGGGGAAUAUUGCACAAUGGGCGCAAGCCUGAUGCAGCGACGCCGCGUGAGGGAUGACGGCCUUCGGGUUGUAAACCUCUGUUAGCAUCGAAGAAGCGAAAGUGACGGUAGGUGCAGAGAAAGCGCCGGCUAACUACGUG